This is a non-coding RNA of Centropristis striata (black sea bass), 1166 nucleotides long. The record is from the annotation of a RefSeq genome assembly. Lineage: Eukaryota; Metazoa; Chordata; Actinopteri; Perciformes; Serranidae.
AUGAUUCUCUCUGUGCUGAUAUGCAUGAGAGGCUUCUUAAAGGGAAGUGAAGCAAUGUGUGAUGCCCGUCCCACCCUGACGGUGCUGCCCCCCUCCACUGAGCAGCUGCAGCAGGGGAAGGCCACGCUCAUGUGCCUGGCCAACAAGGGCUUCCCCUCAGACUGGAGUCUGGCCUGGAAGGUGGACGGCAGCAGCAGCAGCAGCAGCAGCAGCAUCAGCUGGGAGCAGAGCAGCAGCCCCGGGGUGCUGGAGAAGGACGGCCACUACAGCUGGAGCAGCACCCUGAGGCUCUCUGCAGACCAGUGGAGGAAGGUGGGCUCUGUGACCUGUGAGGCCACCCAGGGCUCCCAGACUCCGCUCUCAGAGACUCUGAGGAGAGACCAGUGUCCCCAGUCCUGAUCUGACUCACUGGUUUUACUCUGCUACUGCUCUCAGUCUGCACUCUUUCCCUGUUUCUCUCAUGAUGUUUCAACAUUAACUUGUUCUUGCUUGUGUUUUUCGUUUUAAUAUUUCCAAACAAUAAAGAAUUCCAUCGUAGAUUAUAAAAGUGACAGGUCUCUUGAAUUCCUUUCUUUUACAAGUGUUAUAUAUUAGGAGCAUGAAUCAGAUUAAAGUGCCAAAGUGACAAUCGUAAGAAGUACAUUUUUUCCAGAUACAUUUUUAAUAGUUUUAACACUGUAGACAUGGUGCAGCUAUUUCAAUGAAUAUAAAUCACAAAGCUAUCAAAUUUAAUUCAUUUAUGCUCUUGAAGAUCCAUUUGUUAAGUUAAUAUGUCAUUAAAUAAUCAUUUUUACCCAAAAUCAUCCAUCAUUAAUUUCUAAUUCUAUGUUCCCAAUAUAAAUGGUGUCCUGUUAAGAGGUAUCCAUACACAUUUUUGGACAUCCUAAAAUCCCUACAUAUUGGUGCCCCGUGUGAGGCAUUGUACAGUUGGCAAUUGUUCUGCACUUUGUAACUCUCUCUUCGUUCUUGCUUGUGUUUAUGCUUUUAACAUUUUAAAGCAAUAAAGAUUUUAUUAUGUGCAUUAUGAAAGUGUCUUUUGACUUCCUUUCUGUGACAUAUAUAAGAUAACAGUCCAGUCCAGAACUAUACACUCCACAGUACUUUUCAGUGGUUUUAAGAGUUUAUUCUUGAGUUUUUGUUUCCAUUUUUAUGUUAAUUAAUUAAAC